UAAAUCUGCCAUGUUUUAACUCUGCUGUCUCUGAUACUGCUGGACUACUUUAUUUUUUUAAUACAAUGAUAAUUAGAUUUAUCUGUCUAUUGUAAGACACACAAACAUAUACUUUUCUGCCUUCCUCUAGGGGAAAAUAAAAUAAGCUUCAUGUCAUGGACCACUUUAUACAAGUGCUUAAUGGGCUCAUUCCUAGGAGUUUGAUCUCAAGUGGGAAGGGGUAUCUCUCUGAAAAUAAGCAUAUGCACACUUUCAAGUUUAGACACAGAUGGAAUCCUCAAGACCCUAGGAAAAACUCAAUAAACGUUGGUUGGUUGCCUCCAAUUUCUAUUCUCGUCAUUCUUGGUAAGAGCCUUCUAACUCCUGUUUGAGGAACCACCAUAUUCUUCUAUACUUAACGCUGGGCUUAGACUAGAGUUGCACCUACCCCCAACACCAAAGGUAGGAUACCUGGACUUCUUGAUUGGUUUGGGGAUAGACAGAUGCUCAGGACCAAGCUAGCCUAGCUCAUCACACUGUGAUAUGUUCACCACAGGGGUUAACAUAGGGUCAUCUGUAUU
This 560-nucleotide long non-coding RNA is filed under the name Bos taurus (domestic cattle). Its description in RNAcentral is "long non-coding RNA NONBTAT020522". Lineage: Eukaryota; Metazoa; Chordata; Mammalia; Artiodactyla; Bovidae. The record is from RNAcentral.